GACGAACGCUGGCGGCGUGCUUAACACAUGCAAGUCGAACGGUAAGGCUCCAGCUUGCUGGGGUACACGAGUGGCGAACGGGUGAGUAACACGUGGGUGACCUGCCCUGCACUUCGGGAUAAGCCUGGGAAACUGGGUCUAAUACCGGAUAGGACCGCACCGUGAGGGUGUGGUGGAAAGUUUUUUCGGUGUGGGAUGGGCCCGCGGCCUAUCAGCUUGUUGGUGGGGUAAUGGCCUACCAAGGCGGCGACGGGUAGCCGGCCUGAGAGGGUGGACGGCCACAUUGGGACUGAGACACGGCCCAGACUCCUACGGGAGGCAGCAGUGGGGAAUAUUGCACAAUGGGCGGAAGCCUGAUGCAGCGACGCCGCGUGGGGGAUGACGGCCUUCGGGUUGUAAACUCCUUUCACCAUCGACGAAGGGUUUCUGACGGUAGAUGGAGAAGAAGCACCGGCUAACUACGUGCCAGCAGCCGCGGUAAUACGUAGGGUGCGAGCGUUGUCCGGAAUUACUGGGCGUAAAGAGCUCGUAGGUGGUUUGUCGCGUCGUCUGUGAAAUUCCGGGGCUUAACUCCGGGCGUGCAGGCGAUACGGGCAUAACUUGAGUACUGUAGGGGAGACUGGAAUUCCUGGUGUAGCGGUGAAAUGCGCAGAUAUCAGGAGGAACACCGGUGGCGAAGGCGGGUCUCUGGGCAGUAACUGACGCUGAGGAGCGAAAGCAUGGGGAGCGAACAGGAUUAGAUACCCUGGUAGUCCAUGCCGUAAACGGUGGGCGCUAGGUGUGGGUUUCCUUCCACGGGAUCCGUGCCGUAGCUAACGCAUUAAGCGCCCCGCCUGGGGAGUACGGCCGCAAGGCUAAAACUCAAAGGAAUUGACGGGGGCCCGCACAAGCGGCGGAGCAUGUGGAUUAAUUCGAUGCAACGCGAAGAACCUUACCUGGGCUUGACAUAUACAGGAUCGCGCCAGAGAUGGUGUUUCCCUUGUGGCUUGUAUACAGGUGGUGCAUGGUUGUCGUCAGCUCGUGUCGUGAGAUGUUGGGUUAAGUCCCGCAACGAGCGCAACCCUUGUCUUAUGUUGCCAGCACGUUGUGGUGGGGACUCGUAAGAAACUGCCGGGGUUAACUCGGAGGAAGGUGGGGAUGACGUCAAAUCACCAUGCCCCUUAUGUCCAGGGCUUCACACAUGCUACAAUGGUCGGUACAGUGGGUUGCCAGUCCGUGAGGGCGAGCUAAUCCCGCAAAGCCGGUCUCAGUUCGGAUCGGGGUCUGCAACUCGACCCCGUGAAGUCGGAGUCGCUAGUAAUCGCAGAUCAGCAACGCUGCGGUGAAUACGUUCCCGGGCCU
RNAcentral lists this ribosomal RNA (1341 nucleotides) under uncultured bacterium. RNAcentral's name for it is "partial 16S ribosomal RNA". It matches the Rfam family "Bacterial small subunit ribosomal RNA", at positions 28 to 1381 of the family's 1533-position model. The record is from RNAcentral.